RNAcentral lists this ribosomal RNA (415 nucleotides) under uncultured bacterium. Its description in RNAcentral is "partial 16S ribosomal RNA". It matches the Rfam family "Bacterial small subunit ribosomal RNA", at positions 355 to 762 of the family's 1533-position model. The record is from RNAcentral.
UGGGGAAUUUUGGACAAUGGGCGAAAGCCUGAUCCAGCAAUGCCGCGUGUGUGAAGAAGGCCUUCGGGUUGUAAAGCACUUUUGUCCGGAAAGAAAUCCUUGGCUCUAAUACAGUCGGGGGAUGACGGUACCGGAAGAAUAAGCACCGGCUAACUACGUGCCAGCAGCCGCGGUAAUACGUAGGGUGCAAGCGUUAAUCGGAAUUACUGGGCGUAAAGCGUGCGCAGGCGGUUUGCUAAGACCGAUGUGAAAUCCCCGGGCUCAACCUGGGAACUGCAUUGGUGACUGGCAGGCUAGAGUAUGGCAGAGGGGGGUAGAAUUCCACGUNUGAGCAGUGAAAUGCGUAGAGAUGUGGAGGAAUACCGAUGGCGAAGGCAGCCCCCUGGGCAAUACUGACGCUCAUGCACGAAAGCGU